CUUCACCCUGGCCUAUCUGAAGAUGCCCACGUAUUGGAGACCAUCUUCCUCUGCCUUCUUCUCAUCUCUUUCUUACUUUCUUUUUCUCUCAGCUAUAGAAGUAAAUUAGAUGAAGAAGCAAGUGGGAAGUUGGCAGCCUGGGUGCUUUCGGGCUUGUUGGAGCUGCCAUAGUGGGAAACUUCGUCUUGAUAGCUUAAACCUGAGGAAAUUCUAGAAGGGACUGUGGAGUUGAGUUUUGUUGAUGAAGUGGCUGUCGGGUUGGACUUUUGGGCGCCCGAAUUAAAAAGGGACCAGGUGGAGUUGGUGCUCGAGUGAAUUGCUUUGGUGUGCCGAGCUGUAGAAAGGAGAUUGAGCUGAGUGCAGCUUGGUGGAUCUUCGAAUUCAGUAGGGAUGAAAUUGGAGGUUGGACAAGAUCGGAAGUUUGAAUUGGUAUUUUGACGGACCUACGACGCGCUAGUUAAAUAACGCUUCGUUCUAGCUUUGUUGGCGUCGAGUUGCGAGGGCUAGUUGUUGAUACGUUCCGAGACGUUGGUUCUAGUCUUGGCAUCCCUACAAGUGGGUUGUGCUUCACCGAAGCAAUUAGGUCGCUUCCAUGCCAAAGUAAAGUAUAAUUAUUAUUGAUGCAUAUAUAUAUAGUGGUAGGUUGAGAUUAAUAAUGUGAAUGCAUGAAACAUGUUGUAGUAGUUAAUAGUACCUACCAUUGGAAUAUGCAUAUGAAUACAUUGUAGUUCAUGCUAUAUGAGAUGUGAAUGUUGACAUAUUAUGAACAUGCUAGAUGCAUAUGAGUUGGAAAUGGGUCGAUAACUCUAGGUCGAUUAGAGCAUCCGACAGUUGUAAAAUGAGAAUGUGUGAAUUAUAAUCCUAGAUAUGGACAACUAGGAUAAGACAUAGAUCGAGUGGCAUGAACCUAGUAUUAUUAAACAAAGGUUGGACAUGAACCU
Molecule: long non-coding RNA, 941 nt
Organism: Ananas comosus (pineapple)
Lineage: Eukaryota; Viridiplantae; Streptophyta; Magnoliopsida; Poales; Bromeliaceae
Exons: 3
Source: RefSeq, a predicted model, not a curated record